This 507-nucleotide ribosomal RNA is filed under the name uncultured bacterium. RNAcentral describes it as "bacterial SSU rRNA". It matches the Rfam family "Bacterial small subunit ribosomal RNA", at positions 34 to 518 of the family's 1533-position model. The record is from RNAcentral.
CGCUGGCGGCGUGCCUAACACAUGCAAGUCGAACGGGGAUUUGUUUCGGCAGGAUCCUAGUGGCGAACGGGUGAGUAACGCGUAGGCAACCUGCCCUCCGGCCGGGGACAACACUCCGAAAGGGGUGCUAAUACCGGAUACGAAGUCUGUGCCGCAUGGUACGGAUUUGAAAGAUGGCCUCUGUUUAUAAGCUAUCGCCGGGGGAUGGGCCUGCGUCCGAUUAGCUGGUUGGUGGGGUAACGGCCUACCAAGGCGACGAUCGGUAGCCGGUCUGAGAGGAUGAACGGCCACAUUGGGACUGAGACACGGCCCAGACUCCUACGGGAGGCAGCAGUGGGGAAUCUUCCGCAAUGGGCGCAAGCCUGACGGAGCAACGCCGCGUGAGUUGAGGAAGUUCUUCGGAACGUAAAGCUCUGUUGUUCCUGACGAACCUCCCUUCUAUCAACAACGGAGGGGACUGACGGUAGGGAACGAGGAAGCCACGGCUAACUACGUGCCAGCAGCAGC